Molecule: long non-coding RNA, 1144 nt
Filed under: Homo sapiens (human)
Lineage: Eukaryota; Metazoa; Chordata; Mammalia; Primates; Hominidae
Description: HSALNT0082332
Source: RNAcentral
UCAACUGCGAAAAAGUACAUAUGUGUAAGAAAAGAGUGCUUAAAACCUACUCGUGAGAAAAUUCAAUAUUUAAAGAUAAGUAAAGGAGGAGGCUCAUGUGUAGAGUCUAUAUACAAAUUGGAAGUGGUGGUGACUGAAAAAAAUGCAUUAAAAUUAACCAAAUUUUCUCUUUUCUAGGCACUGUCCUAAUUGUAGAUGCUUGAGAAAAUAGAGAUGUAAUCAUGGAUACCCACCAGGUAUUUGAGUCAGGUUCUUCAAUGCAAAAGUCACAUAGAAGCUGCUGCUUUAAUGUUUGUAACAGACUUCCAAACUAAUGUCUCUUAUAAUGUCCCUGUGUAUUAAGAUUUCCAUAAAACCAUUACAAUUUCUAUUUAUUUUGUCUAGAUGUAAAGCAGACGGCAUAUCAUAUUACAUAUAUUGCUAAAAUUCUUGCAGCCUAAUGUAUACAGAUUUGUGAAUUUUGAGUGAUCUGAAGUUCAUGAAUAUUUUGAGGUUGGUUUGUUUUGUCUUGUUCAAAGCCUAGAUAUCAUGUUUUUUCAGUUUAACAUAUUUCUUGAGGGAAAAGAAAUGUUUAGAUUUCCAGCUAGUUAUAAAAUUGUCAGAAAGAAUAGAAGUUAAACAUACAGAGAAACAAAGGUUACACAUCUGGGAAAAUAGUAGAAAAGCCUUUAUAUAGUCUUGGCAAAUGAAUUCAGAGGUUUUAUUUUUAAUCACAACUGUGAAGAAAGAAAGAUUACCUUUUGGGGAAAUUAAUGAAUAUUGUGGGCUUAGACAUAAAAUAAUUGUUAAUUGCUCCAUUUAUUAGAAAUCAUAUGUCAAAAGUGUUUUAUCAUCAGUAAUACAAUAGCAAUAGAGAUAAAAAUAUAUACGGAUAUUUGAUUUUGAUGAUUUUAAUCUCCUAUGCCAUUUCCAUAACAACAUGAUUAUUCACACCUGUCAAACUGAUGGGUGAGAAUGUCAACUUGCCCUUGAAUGCCAAAGACUAUUUUCAGACCCUUGAGUUUUCUCACCAAUUCAAUCCAUUUUGCAUGCUUCUGACAUGCCUUUUAGAAGACCAAUUUGCUUAUAUCUCUUUACCUAUUUACUGAAACCCUCAUUUAUUAGCUUGGCAUUCAAAGUCUUCUACAGUCUUGCCAUAUCUCAC